CCCGCCAUGGGUGGAUUAGUGGCGAACGGGUGAGUAACACGUGAGUAACCUGCCCCUGACUCUGGGAUAAGCGUUGGAAACGACGUCUAAUACUGGAUAUGACUGCCGGCCGCAUGGUCUGGUGGUGGAAAGAUUUUUUGGUUGGGGAUGGACUCGCGGCCUAUCAGCUUGUUGGUGAGGUAAUGGCUCACCAAGGCGACGACGGGUAGCCGGCCUGAGAGGGUGACCGGCCACACUGGGACUGAGACACGGCCCAGACUCCUACGGGAGGCAGCAGUGGGGAAUAUUGCACAAUGGGCGAAAGCCUGAUGCAGCAACGCCGCGUGAGGGAUGACGGCCUUCGGGUUGUAAACCUCUUUUAGUAGGGAAGAAGCGAAAGUGACGGUACCUGCAGAAAAAGCACCGGCUAACUACGUGCCAGCAGCCGCGGUAAUACGUAGGGUGCAAGCGUUGUCCGGAAUUAUUGGGCGUAAAGAGCUCGUAGGCGGUUUGUCGCGUCUGCUGUGAAAUCCCGAGGCUCAACCUCGGGCUUGCAGUGGGUACGGGCAGACUAGAGUGCGGUAGGGGAGAUUGGAAUUCCUGGUGUAGCGGUGGAAUGCGCAGAUAUCAGGAGGAACACCGAUGGCGAAGGCAGAUCUCUGGGCCGUAACUGACGCUGAGGAGCGAAAGCGUGGGGAGCGAACAGGAUUAGAUACCCUGGUAGUCCACGCCGUAAACGUUGGGCGCUAGAUGUAGGGACCUUUCCACGGUUUCUGUGUCGUAGCUAACGCAUUAAGCGCCCCGCCUGGGGAGUACGGCCG
Molecule: ribosomal RNA, 800 nt
Filed under: Curtobacterium sp. 42HD16
Lineage: Bacteria; Bacillati; Actinomycetota; Actinomycetes; Micrococcales; Microbacteriaceae
Description: bacterial SSU rRNA
Rfam family: Bacterial small subunit ribosomal RNA
Source: RNAcentral